UACGUAGGGGGCAAGCGUUGUCCGGAAUCAUUGGGCGUAAAGAGCGCGUAGGCGGUCCGGUAAGUCCGCUGUGAAAGUCAAGGGCUCAACCCUUGAAUGCCGGUGGAUACUGUCGGGCUAGAGUCCGGAAGAGGCGAGUGGAAUUCCUGGUGUAGCGGUGAAAUGCGCAGAUAUCAGGAGGAACACCGGUGGCGAAGGCGGGAUCCUGGGCCAGUACUGACGCUGAGGAGCGAAAGCGUGGGGAGCAAACAGG
RNAcentral lists this ribosomal RNA (253 nucleotides) under uncultured bacterium. Its description in RNAcentral is "partial 16S ribosomal RNA". It matches the Rfam family "Bacterial small subunit ribosomal RNA", at positions 524 to 776 of the family's 1533-position model. The record is from RNAcentral.